This is a non-coding RNA of Odocoileus virginianus texanus, 3833 nucleotides long. The record is from RefSeq and is a predicted model, not a curated record. Lineage: Eukaryota; Metazoa; Chordata; Mammalia; Artiodactyla; Cervidae.
UUUUGCCUCCCAUUUUUUUACAUGACAUUUUACUUCUUUCACAUUCAUGUGCUGACACGGCUUGUUUACGUUCUAAAUUCUGUCUGAAUUUCUGUAACCUCAGCAACACCUGUAACAGAGCAUCAGUUACUCUAAAGUGGACAGGGAAGGAAAUAUUUUCCUGGAGAAACAUCCUGGAAUUCUCUGAUUAAGUAAUUUGCAAAAGAUUGGUAGCCAUAAGCUUCCUCUUAAAUGGACAUGCUUUCCAGUUUUAAUGGGCUUGCUUUGAGGAGAAAAGGCGUCAUUUAAUAAAGGAGAUAGGAAGUAUAAGCCGAAUCAUCCAUUUUUUCUUAGUCUUCCAAUUUUUAGUGAUCCUUUCCUGCACAAAGCUUUUUGUAACAUUCUAGAAGUAAACAGGUAAUGAAGCUGUAGAAAUAUUAACCCACCAAAGACUGGCCUGUCAUAUGAUUACAAGGCAUUUAGGAAAUGACUUUUUUUAUUUUUAAUAAUAGACCAGUGGUGCUAAGUUUCCUGUUAAGAUUCAACCAUGGGUGUUAUUUGGCUUCUAAUGGGUCAUAGUGAUUAUAGUAAUUUAGGUAAGCUACUACUUCUGUUUCUGUCAUCCUGCAAGAGUAAGAAUUUCCCUUGUUAUCUUGAACAGUUGCUAAAUGUUAGAAAUGUUAAGGUAGUGAAAUGAAUAAUGAGAAACCCAACUUUCUACCAAAAAAUUAACAAAAUACAUAGAUUAGGGGGAUAUAGAAAGUGAACUCUAGUCAUGAUUUGGAUCCUGAAAAGAUGGAAUAACGUGGGCUGUAGUUACUUACCUUUGAUAUUGGUCCUUAGGAGACAUUUUAGAAAGUUAAGGUAUUUAGUGGCACAGAAGUUAGAAGUUUGAUCUUGAUACCAUAGAUGUGACUAAAAUCUGGUUCUGACUUUCUGGUCUGUAUAGUUGGAAUAAGGCUUGUGAACAGUGCUAACUGAGGAGAGUUUGCCAGUCUAACAACUUUGUGUGAUAAUUUGGCAUCUUAUUAGAGAAUAUGAUUCUAAUGAAUUUUGUUCUGUAUCCUGCAGAUAGUUGAUGCUUUGGCCCCUUCAUUCGUAUACUUGUAUUUAGCAUGCUAUAAUAAGAUUCCAUCCCCUCUUUAGGAGCACAGACCUCUUCUCUUACUGAAAUGUUCUAUCUUUGCCAGGUGUUGUUCGAUAUUACAAUAACUUUAGAUAAAGCAUUGUGUGCUUAUAGAACCUUGUGUUUGAAGGGGGAAAAAAGUGAAAGUGGAGUUAAAUUCUCACUCAGACUGUGCUUAAUUGGAAACAUAGAACUUAAACUUCAGAAAAAUCUGUAUUGAUAAAUUUGGUCUUUCACAUAUUUCCUUUCUGGUUGCAAUGGUUGUAAGAGGUCAGGGCAGUUGAAGUCUAUAUAGUUUUUAGAAACUAAAGAGUUGAAUGGGACCUCCAAGAAGAUUUAUUUAAUGAGUGAAAUGGAAGUCCUUUUGAUAGAUAUUUCCUUUAAACUCUUUACUAUUACAGGAUUAAACUGUAUCAUUGAAGUCUGAUAAUUGAUGAUACCUAGUAUAAAUCAGCAUUUUUCUGGUGUUCUCUUUUUAACUAUUUAGUCAAGUUAUAGUAACUUUUUUGAAAAGGCCUGAUGGGACUGUUUUAAUAUUGUCAACCUUUAACUUUGAUCAGGUAUACUCUUAUACUUACCCACCCACCUCCCGCCCCCCUCCCGCACCCACUUCUCUCCAAUUCAUUUGUAGACAGCAGCAGUAUUUUCAUUUCUUUUGCUUCCUCAUUUGUAUUUUUAAAAGAUUCGUCUUUGUCAUUAUGUACAGUGAGAGAUCUGUGAAAGAUCAAGAAAAUCUUGACCUGGAUAGGGUAGUAGAUCCAAGCCAUAAGUUUCCUGAGGAGGUUCUUUAGUUUAUUCUACUUGCACCAUUUAUAAUGACCCCAGUGGCAGAUUUCUAUAAAAGGCCUGUCACUUUUAUGCUUGCUUACACUUCUAAUCCAGUGUCUGGUUGAGAAGUUUGGUUCAUAGCUUCAAAAUAAUUCAAGAAAAUUGAUUUCAGUUCUCUCUGCUUCAGUCAUCUUCUUCCUCUCUCUGCUUCAGUUGGAUCUAGAAUCCUCUGAUUAGGUCAAGGAGAAACAGAUCAGAUUAUACCCCAAAUUGCUCCUUUCAUUGAGGAAUAAAUGACCUACCUAAAAUCACUUCCCUUUGGAGUAUAAGCCCUAGAGGAAACAGUUAUUUAAUAUCUUUGCUUUCUUUGAGCUAGUAUUAGAAAAUUCUGGUUCCUGUUGAUAUGAUCAAGUUAUUGUUUUCUGACUUAUUGGUUAUUUUCUUUCUUUUUUUUUUUUUUUUAAAGUCACAGAAUCUUCACAUCCCUGAAAAACUCAAGUUGCUUCUUCAACUAGGGUCUCACUAGUAAUUCUACAGCCAAUGUGCAAGGAUGUGUGGCAAACUUCGUAGAGCAUAGGGAAGGAAUAUAGUGACUCACAUACUUUUAAAGUUCAUUUUCCAUCCUGCCUUGUAGAAAUGGUACUAGAGGUGUGAUAAGUGAAAUUAGCUUUGUUUUUCAGGUACUAAUAUCCUGUGAGACACAAACAUUUAGAGAAUUUUCUCUCAUUUCUCAUUGGGGUGAAGCUCAGAGAGCUUUUAUUCUUCUACCUUUUGUACUGCAGAAUCAUUUGUACUGCAGAAAAAAGUAGCUGGGAGUAUGGCCCUCCUAUAAGGCAACCAAAUAAGAAAAACGGAAUGAGUCAACAGGCCAGGACAGCAGAAUAAUUUCUGUGGGGUGAUCGUUUCUGUGUCUUAAUGCAUUUUGGAAUAUGGAUUUAAGCCACCUUGUCACUAGACAUUUGGAGCAAUUAACUUUGUUAAAUCAUUUUUAUUGCAAUUAAAAGACAACCGUAUAGAUUGUAAAUAGUAUAUUGACAGAAGGUAAGUCCUCAACUUCUUCCCAUAUCAUCAAUGAGCCAGGAUAAAUUUCCCAAAUAAAAAAAUCAGUGUUUGUAAUUUGCUUCCAACAAAGGAUGGGAAGUGGAAGAGAGACAUAAAACUGUAGCAUUAAUAAUACUAAUUUUAUCAGAUUUCAAAUAAGAGUAAGUAAACUUAUAAAGUGACAUGCUAAUUCUUUUUGUAUUACUUUCCCUUUUUGUUAUUUAAAGCCAAAUUCCAGAAAUAAAAAUCUUUAUCAUACUGUUUUCUUCUUGCUAAAGCUGGAAGGAUAAAAUAAAAAGUUCAGCAACAUCAGAAAAUGUUUGAUCUAAAAUAAUAAUGAAGAGUAUGGUUGUUAAGUACAUGAACCAAAUCGACUUCCUUGUUCCCUUUGAGAACUCAUGGUUGUCUAGCAAAUGCAUGUAGGUUUGUUUUUAGUGUAUAACAUGAAUAGACAGUGCUUCCUUUUGCCAUUUCAAAAUAAUUGCUUUGAAAUACCCUUCUCAGUCUGUAAACUUUAGAGGCAUGUGUAUAUACAGGUAUGUUUUAUAAACCAUGAAUUUGUCUGUUUCCACUAAGUAUGAUCAAUUUGAUUAAUAAAAGCAGGUUUACUUUUUACCACUUAAAGUUUUGAUCUUAGGGCUGUUGAGAAAAAUUAAAGUGAUUCAUAACAGUUUAGAUGAAGAAGGAAGUAACACGGUUACAUCCAGUACCUUGGCACUAGAUCCUUUUAGGCCUAUUUCCCCACCAAAACAAGCUGUAAGUUUUCAUUUCUUCAUGGCACUGUGUUCUAUUAAACUGUAUUAACAUUUGUGCUAGCAUGGAGCAUGUACUUUUUUAUAUAUAAGUGUUAGAAUUUCAGCUAUUUUAGUUGAAACACAAAAUUGUUACUUAUCCAAUAAAAGUAUCAAAGGCCAAACCA